This 434-nucleotide ribosomal RNA is filed under the name uncultured bacterium. Its description in RNAcentral is "partial 16S ribosomal RNA". It matches the Rfam family "Bacterial small subunit ribosomal RNA", at positions 29 to 507 of the family's 1533-position model. The record is from RNAcentral.
AGCGAACGCUGGCGGCAGGCCUAACACAUGCAAGUCGAACGAACCUUUCGGGGUUAGUGGCGGACGGGUGAGUAACACGUGGGAACGUGCCUUUAGGUUCGGAAUAACUCAGGGAAACGUGUGCUAAUACCGAAUGUGCCCUUCGGGGGAAAGAUUAAUCGCCUUUAGAGGGGCCCGCGUCUGAUUAGCUAGUUGGUUGAGGAAAUGGCACACCAAGGCGACGUUCAGUAGAUGGUCUGAGAGGAUGAUUAGACACAUUGGGACUGGGACACGGUGCAGACUCCUACGGGAGGCAGCAGUGGGGAAUCUUGCGCAAUGGGCGAAAGCCUGACGCAGCCAUGCCGCGUGAAUGAUGAAGGUCGUAGGGUUGUAAAAUUCUUUCACCGGGGACGAUAAUGACGGUACCCGGAGAAGAAGCCCCGGCUAACUUCGUG